AGUGAACGCUGGCGGCGUGCUUAACACAUGCAAGUCGAACGAGAACGGAAUAUAGCUUGCUAUAUUUGUCAGCUAAGUGGCGCACGGGCGAGUAAUGUAUAGAUAACCUGCCCUUAAGAAAGGAAUAACAGUUGGAAACGACUGCUAAUGCCCUAUAUGCCUUUAAUACAUAAGUAUGCAAGGGAAACGCUUUAGUGCUUAAGGAUGGGUCUGUAUGGUAUCAGCUUGUUGGUGAGGUAAUGGCUCACCAAGGCUAUGACGCCUAACUGGUUUGAGAGGAUGAUCAGUCACACUGGAACUGAGACACGGUCCAGACUCCUACGGGAGGCAGCAGUGGGGAAUAUUGCAAAUGGACGAAAGUCUGAUGCCGCAACGCCGCGUGGAGGAUGACACAUUUCGGUGCGUAAACUCCUUUUAUAUAGGAAGAUAAUGACGGUACUAUAUGAAUAAGCACCGGCUAACUCCGUGCCAGCCGCCGCAGUAA
RNAcentral lists this ribosomal RNA (484 nucleotides) under uncultured bacterium. RNAcentral describes it as "partial 16S ribosomal RNA". It matches the Rfam family "Bacterial small subunit ribosomal RNA", at positions 29 to 523 of the family's 1533-position model. The record is from RNAcentral.